Panicum hallii is the source of this 107-nucleotide small nucleolar RNA. The record is from RefSeq and is a predicted model, not a curated record. NCBI's taxonomy places the organism in Eukaryota, Viridiplantae, Streptophyta, Magnoliopsida, Poales, Poaceae.
AUGUCAUGGUGUGGGCAUGUUGCAAUGUACUCCUGGAGACGUUCCCAGGCUUUCGGGAUUAUUUUAUCCUAGAGUUGUUGGAAACUGGAAAUCCUAUUCCGAAGGGU